GUGGGGAAUAUUGGACAAUGGGCGCAAGCCUGAUCCAGCCAUGCCGCGUGAGUGAUGAAGGCCCUAGGGUUGUAAAGCUCUUUCACCGGUGAAGAUAAUGACGGUAACCGGAGAAGAAGCCCCGGCUAACUUCGUGCCAGCAGCCGCGGUAAUACGAAGGGGGCUAGCGUUGUUCGGAAUUACUGGGCGUAAAGCGCACGUAGGCGGACAUUUAAGUCAGGGGUGAAAUCCCGGGGCUCAACCCCGGAACUGCCUUUGAUACUGGGUGUCUGGAGUAUGGAAGAGGUAAGUGGAAUUCCGAGUGUAGAGGUGAAAUUCGUAGAUAUUCGGAGGAACACCAGGGGCGAAGGCGGCUUACUGGUCCAUUACUGACGCUGAGGUGCGAAAGCGUGGGGAGCAAACAGGAUUAGAUACCCGUGUAGUCC
Molecule: ribosomal RNA, 425 nt
Filed under: uncultured bacterium
Lineage: Bacteria
Description: partial 16S ribosomal RNA
Rfam family: Bacterial small subunit ribosomal RNA
Source: RNAcentral